GAUGAACGCUGGCGGCGUGCCUAAUACAUGCAAGUCGAGCGAACGGACGAGAAGCUUGCUUCUCUGAUGUUAGCGGCGGACGGGUGAGUAACACGUGGAUAACCUACCUAUAAGACUGGGAUAACUUCGGGAAACCGGAGCUAAUACCGGAUAAUAUUUUGAACCGCAUGGUUCAAAAGUGAAAGACGGUCUUGCUGUCACUUAUAGAUGGAUCCGCGCUGCAUUAGCUAGUUGGUAAGGUAACGGCUUACCAAGGCAACGAUGCAUAGCCGACCUGAGAGGGUGAUCGGCCACACUGGAACUGAGACACGGUCCAGACUCCUACGGGAGGCAGCAGUAGGGAAUCUUCCGCAAUGGGCGAAAGCCUGACGGAGUAACGCCGCGUGAGUGAUGAAGGUCUUCGGAUCGUAAAACUCUGUUAUUAGGGAAGAACAUAUGUGUAAGUAACUGUGCACAUCUUAACGGUACCUAAUCAGAAAGCCACGGCUAACUACGUG
Molecule: ribosomal RNA, 497 nt
Filed under: uncultured bacterium
Lineage: Bacteria
Description: partial 16S ribosomal RNA
Rfam family: Bacterial small subunit ribosomal RNA
Source: RNAcentral